AGGCAGUGUAUUGUUAGUUAGCUGC
This 25-nucleotide microRNA is filed under the name Gallus gallus (chicken). RNAcentral describes it as "gga-miR-449d-5p". Its record names the gene gga-miR-449d-5p. The record is from miRBase by way of RNAcentral. Lineage: Eukaryota; Metazoa; Chordata; Aves; Galliformes; Phasianidae.